Molecule: long non-coding RNA, 2892 nt
Filed under: Coffea arabica (coffee)
Lineage: Eukaryota; Viridiplantae; Streptophyta; Magnoliopsida; Gentianales; Rubiaceae
Description: long non-coding RNA (CARA_LNC000820)
Source: RNAcentral
AAGCAAAGUUGUUGGGCUUACAUGCCACCAGAGCUGUUGAGAGAUGUGUUGGUGAGGAUCGAAGAAUCUGAGAGUACCUGGCCCCCCAGAAAGAAUGUGGUUGCUUGUGCUGGAGUUUGUAGGAGUUGGAGGGACAUAAUGAAGGAAAUUGUGAAGACGCCAAAAAUUUCUGGACAGUUGACUUUCCCCAUCUCCCUCAAGCAGGUAUGAGCCCGGGUGUUAAAAAUUGCUCCGAUUCUAUUAUUUGUUGAUUUUACAAUGUCUCAGCUGACGAUGUUACAUUCUAUUGGUGAUUGUCAUUGGUUAGUUUGUUAUGAUGGUUUUAUAGUUCCAAUAUCCUUUGUUUGUUUUAAUCUGAGUAUGUUUAGGAGAAAAGGAUAUAAUCCAGGAACGCAGCAGUUAAGAGGAUUUUAACGUGCUAGUUAAGUACAGUAAGUUUUACUCACAAGUAUGCGUAGCCACAUUGUGUACAUGCUCAAGGGCCAAUGCACAUUGAUUUGGAUUAUUGAACGAUCAUACACAGAAAGGAACUAUAAAGCAUGUCUUUUGAUUGCUAUUUGACUCGAAUAUAACAUGAGUUCACGUCCAAUAGGUGGUGCUAAGUUCUAUGUUUUGAUCUGAUUAUAAGUUGUCCUCAAUUUUUCAGAAUUUUGUUUGCUGUUUGGAACUGUCGAUAUUUUUCUUCCAAAUUUUAUGCUUCAUUAAUAUAUGGAGUAAUUAAUAGCUUAUCAAACGUGUGUUUUAUUCCUACAGACACAAUACAGAAUAUCUUGUUAGAUUCAGUGUUAAUGAGAACGGGUCUGCACGGAUUGUUGUUUUGGAUAUUUGGGGGGUGUGGGUGUGGCAGCAGGCUGUGAGGGGCUUGUAGAUGGACCUGUCUGCCAGAGCUUGAAGAUGGACCAUCUACAAGGCUUACUGUGAUGAACCCUUUUGAUAUUCUUAAUUAUCCUCCUAAUUAGUUCAUAGCAAUCAGGCAAUAUUCUUUGUAAAACAAAAAGUAUUGAGAAUCAACCUGGGCAAAGUGAACUCUUUAGUAUGGCUUGGACUUAGUCUGUAUGUUGAGUUGAAAAUGUUGUUCUGUAGAGUUUCAUUUUUCUUCUUUCAUUUGCUCUCGUGACUGCUCACUUUGCUGUCUUUGAGUAUUAGAAAUUGAGAAAUAUGAUGAGCAACAAGUUUACCAAUUCGACAAGUUAUUGGGCCAUUUUUUAUUUGAUUUUCACUCUUUCAAAAAAGUACAAUUGUGAACCAAUUUAGUUUUGCAGUUAUGUAACUCUUCAGGUGUUUGCAUUGUAUCCAAAAAGGAAAGAUAUUGAAGAUGACAGUAGUAGGUAGUAAAUUUAUAAGUGUCACGAGCCUCGGACAUGGGUAAAUCAUGCUUAGUUCCUCUAGAAUUUAUGCUGUAAAAGAGCAAUUCAUUUCUCCAAAUAUAUUCAGUUCUCAGUGUUGAUGGAAAUUGUUGGACUCAUAGGAUAAUGCUUCAACUUGCACUUGAUGGAAAGAGUGAACACCCAAUCUCUAGAAAUUUUGGUGGCAAAAAGCAAUUCUUUAGUUAUAUCAUUCUGCAAACAGCAAUGCAGGUCACUUUUGAAUUAGUCUACCACUGCUGCUUAGUGUUGAUUUUGGGUUGAUAUUUUUUUCCCUUGCUGUAUAAGAUGGAUCCAACAGAAUUCCUGCUUUACAGAAAUGCUUAAUUGUGAGCAUUAAAUUGAUUUUCUUUGAAACUGACAUGUGCAUUACUCUGGAGGAUAUUCUUUUAUUUCUCAAAUCACAUGGUGCCUUCUGCAGCCGGGUCCAAGAGGUCCACUGAUCCAGUGUUUCAUAAAAAGGAAUCGCAGCAACCAAACGUAUCAUCUUUAUCUCAGUUUAAAUCAAGGUAAUUGGUGGAUGUGUUGGAACUUGUAUCGCUUAUUGUGCAUUCACCCAGUUAGUUUUGUUUAAUUACAACUCUUUCUGUGUAUUGGAGCAUAACUAACUACAAAGCUUGGGAUUUUCUGUGUUUCAAGUGAUCUACAUGUCUUUGCUGCUUGAAGCUGCAAGGAGCUUUGAAUAAAAUUCCUAGCUAUAACGUUGUCUUUGUCAUUCUUGUGAUUGUUUGACAGCUUCAAAUGAUGAUGGUAAGUUUCUUCUUGCUGCACGGAGAUGUAGGCGCCCAACUUGUACAGAUUACAUCAUCUCUCUAAAUGCUGAAGAUGUCUCAAAGGGUAGCAGUACUUACAUUGGAAAGCUCAGGUAAGGUCUACUGGGCGCUAAAGUGCACUGCUUUCUAAGCUCUUCCAGUCUGAGGUCAGCUUAUCCUCCUUCAUGGCAGGUCAAACUUUCUUGGGACCAAAUUCACAAUCUAUGAUGCACAGCCUCCAAGCACUGGAGGUAGGGUGACUAAAUUUCGUUCCACAAAGCUAGUUGGAAUGAAACAAGUCUCUCCUAGAGUUCCUGCUGGGAACUUUCCUGUAGCCCACAUAUCUUAUGAGUUAAAUGUCCUGGGUUCGAGGUAAGGUUUGUGCUUUUUAGUAGUUAGAACUCUCACUGGUCGAUAAGAAUGUAUAUGAGUACAGAUCUAUUCCUGCAAAUUUAAGUGUGUUUCUUUUCAGUUGCUAUGUGCUGUGCACCUGGUAUCUCAUUGGGCAGUUGUUGAUUAGUCUCUAUGUUUUUUUACUGGCUAAAUAAACUAUGUAACUGGUAAUCAGGGGACCAAGGAGAAUGCACUGUGCUAUGGAUGCAAUCCCUGCUUCUGCUAUUGAACCAGAUGGUGUUGCCCCUACACAAACUGAGUUUCUUCCUGGUGUUAGUGAUUCCUUUCCUUCCCUCCCUUUCUUCAGAUCAAAGUCGUCUUCUCGCACGGAUAUUUUUCAUGCCAGACCCAUGUCAACUGAUAAGGAUGAUAUGUUAGUGUUG